This 378-nucleotide unclassified non-coding RNA is filed under the name uncultured Chlamydiales bacterium. RNAcentral describes it as "contains 16S-23S intergenic spacer region". The record is from RNAcentral. Lineage: Bacteria; Pseudomonadati; Chlamydiota; Chlamydiia; Chlamydiales.
UCCUGGUUAACCCAGGCAGUCUCAUUAGAGUUCCCACCAUUACGUGUUGGCAACUAAUGAUAAGGGUUGCGCUCGUUGCGGGACUUAACCCAACACCUCACGGCACGAGCUGACGACAGCCAUGCAGCACCUGUUCAGAGGCCCCGAAGGGAAAUCACAUUUCUGCGAUCGUCCUCUGUAUGUCAAGUCUGGGUAAGGUUCUUCGCGUUGCAUCGAAUUAAACCACAUGCUCCACUGCUUGUGCGGGUCCCCGUCAAUUCUUUUGAGUUUCACCCUUGCGAGCGUACUCCUCAGGCGGUAUACUUAUCGCGUUAGCUUCGACACAGUCGGGGUUGAGUCCAACUACAUCAAGUAUACAUCGUUUACGGCUAGGACUAC